AUCUGCCCACUGUGGCCUCCAAACCUCACUGCCAAAACAGCCAGCUCAAAAGGGCCGCAAGCUGCAUGCAACCAGCAACAAACUCACAGCCACCAUCCAAAACCAAAAUGGCAGUACUACCAGCCACACCACACCAAACAGCUGCACCGGCAACAACAUCGCCACAGCAGCCCAACGACUAUUCCAGCACUUAGGAGCUUAAGCACCAACAGCUGGACUGCAGCCAAAUCAGUGCAUAUCAGCUCGCAUUUAGAAAAAUAGGGAGCAAUGUACAACUACCCUGCAGUCCCACUGCUGACCGUCGAGUUCUUCACGCCCAUCAACUGCUCAACGUACAUCCAGCAAGCUAUAUACAAAAAGCAACAUCCCAUCGGACCAUCAAGCACUUCUACCAAAAGACCACCAGAAAAGGCGAAUUGCAACAAUUGCAACCCUGCUAAAAGCCAACACCUGAGCGGAACAUGUUGCCUUCCCCUGACUGAAAGAGGGACAGCCGCCCAAGCCCAAGCCAUAGCCUAACAACUGCAACCCUGCCAGAAGCCAACACCUGAGCAGAACAUGUUGACUUCUACUGACUGAAAGAAGGACAACAUGAAAGCUAGUUCAGGCGAAUGGCUGCAGGUCGGACCUCAGGUAACCCGCAAGAACCCUUCACCCUCUUUGCAGGAAACAUCUCCUUCGACACGACGGUAGAGGACAUAACCAGAAUAUUUGGGCGAUAUGGUAAGAUUUCAGACACCAUACCUUGGAACUUCAAUAUUAGGAGACGCCUUCAUAAUAUUCCAAUACCCAGAUGAUGCAAAAGCAGUAUUGGAUAUCCUCACUGAGAAGCUGGUGGAUGGUCGAAUUCUGAUGGUAGAAAUGGCAAAGGCCCGUUCGGCCCAAUCACCCAAAACCCAGCCACCGCCAAUUAGGGAUGCCUCAAAUCCCCCUACAACAGUCCAUAAAGUGCCUGAGAAGGAAGGUAGGUCUUUCGUCGAAGUGGUGAAGGGGGCGGACAUCAGACGCACAGAAGGUGUUCGACAAAAUGGGGUGGGCAUCAAACACGCAGAAGGUGCUCGACAAAAUAUUACAGAGAAGUUCACAGUCAAGGCGGAUAACAAAAGUGUAGCUUUGAAGCUGAGGGAGUUGAGCUCAGCUCUGGUGGCUCAUGCAGUGAACAUAGACGUGCCCAUUAUCAGACUAAUUCAGGAAAUUAAACUCUCCAAAUUCUUACCUACACAAGAAGAUGGGCCUUGGGAAGGUAGAGGCAUGGUCACCGAAGUACGUCACUGGGGGCGAGGGAGUAUGGAUUCGGUUCCAUGGCAUCCCGGCACAUGCCUGGAUGGGAUCAAUGUUUAUGGCUCUAGGAAAAACAUUCGGUAAGGUUGUAGAGGUGGACAGGUGUUCGCUUCUGGGUCUAGUCCAAGUUGCAGCUAGAAUCAGAGUAAUUAUCCAACCAGGUACAGAUACUCAUACGCCAAGAGGUCUGGAGGUGGCAGGGAAAACUUUUCCGAUAUGGCCGACAGUUGAAACACCCCACGCCAUUAUUGCGACAGAUAUGAGUCACCCAGGAACGCAAAAGGACAGGCAAUCCACUAGGCAAUGGGUGGAGAAAGCAUUUUACUACCCAGCCCUCCUAGGGCACAAUAGAAAUGUCAACCAUCCCCUUUACUUCCCAACCAUUAUCAUUCCACCAUGGUCUCCCCCAUUCCCCUGUCCAGGAGCAACUCAUACAAUCCUCCACGAAGCAUGAUGAAAAUCCAAAGGAAGAUGCUUUGAGGACACCCUUAACCUCAGCGACCAAAUUGGCCUUUUGCCCACCCCUCAUUCGAUCCCACACGCCCAGCUCCUCCCCAACUAUGCAGUCUGAGCUGCGUCCGACCCAAAUACCAGCCCCAAAAGUCCACCCCCCCCCCCCCCCCCCCCGAAACAGAUCUCCACAACUCAGCAGAUACACAUGGCCCUCCAAUUCAAAUCUCCUACAUCGCCUCGGAAAGCCCUCUCAGAAGGGAAUAGCCCACUAAAGAUAGGGGAAAACUUUGAGGAAGACCCGGAGGAUGCUCAAAUAGAGGCAUAAAAUGCAGUGAAAGAAAGAAGGGUAUUAGGCGGUGGGGGGCUGCUAGCUGUAGACCUCUCCCCAUACUUAAAACCUGUCUCUCCAACUAACACCCUUCUAGGCUCACCCCAAAUAGUCCCAAUAAGCUCAAAACCCAAACUCUCCCUGGUCAUGUCUCAACAAGCCUCGUCAGCAUACUUUAGGACAGAGGCAUCUAACAAUGAGCUGCAAAGCAGUCCUUCAAGUAUUCCUCAACGAGAUAGCAGCCACUACAAGAAAAUACCUUUUUACUGGCGCAUUUUUUUACCAGCGGCCAUCUCUAUCUACCGGUGAUAAUGAGAAUCACCGGCAGCCAUCAAAAAUCGCCCCUGAUUUUGAUAGGCACCAGAGGGGAGCCCCUGAAGUCUGUGAGUAGACCAAAAUACUGAGAAGUAGAGGAAUCAUUCCAGUAGCCUUGGAAUAGGGAAUAGAGUGGAAUAGCACAAGUUCUAUAGGAUUGGCAAAAGAAUGUUUCUAGGGUGCACGAAGUAGUGCAACGAGCAAAAGCAUAUUGGUCCUUCAUCUCAAUCUAAUAACAAAAGGAUCAUCACGUUCAAUGGGUUUGCACUCUCAGGUAUGCCUCUGACUAUGCUAUUCAGCUUUAGAAGACACAAUUAGCAGCUUGUCAGCCUUUAGAAGUAUAUGGAUUGCAACAUUGGUCAAUUGAUUAUGUCAUCUACCAUUCAUGUUAUUUUUGCUUGUUGCUUCCCCUAAAUGGCCUCUUUAUGAAAUGGAAGCCACCAAUGCCUUUCUACACAGUGAUCUUCAUCAAGAAGCAUAAAUUCACCAAUAAGAAGGAUAUUAAAGGCUCUAUAUGGGCCAAAACAGAUUCCAAGAUCAUAUCGUUUUCAUAUUGGUACAGUUUUGCUGGUUGGAAGGCUAUUUCCAAAGUUUUGCUGCAUCUCCAUUUAUCACCUUUUCUUCCAAAUACUUGUUAUGUACAUCAUCUAAUGUGAAUGUCUAAUGAAGAACUAAUUUUGCUCUGUUUUUUGGUCAUUGAUCUUGAUCAUACUUGUUACAUUCUUUCUCUGGUUGCAUAAAGCUGGAUCUUCUACACUAAAUACCACUCCUCUUUGUAUGGCUAUACUCUCAAACGAUCCUAUCAAUGUAGCAAUAUAGUGGUCCACAAAUAUGCUCUACAGCAGCCUAUAUAUAUUUUUUAAUUCACUGUUUUGGUAACUUUUGUAUUUUGCUUUUGAUGUCUUGGACUAUUUUAACAGUCUCUUCAUGUUAUGUUUUUUCCAUGGUGCAGGGGACAUCUGAAGCUCACCCUCUUGCCUUCAUCUGAUUUGCGCAUCUCAUACACUGGUGAUGAUGGCUGCACUGAAAGACUGGCAGUCUUGAGUAUAAUUUCGGAGAGCUCAGCAGUGGUAAUUGAAGAAAUUUCUGCUGACGGUUCCAGUCGCUCGUUUCAAGUAAAGCUCCCCGAAGGGCAAGUCUCAUACUUUUGGUGCUCGGAGAAAGUCCGCACUUAUUGGGGCUGAGCUACUCACAAAGAAUCCUAGCAACAGGGAGCCUGCUGAGACUACUAGGUGGAGACCUGGCAUGCAGGGUCGUGGGGGUAGGGGCGCUAGAGGGAGCUAUUCUUCUUGUUACAUCUCCUAUGGUGAUUCAACUCCAUCUGGUUUAUCACCACCAGCAUUGCUAUUUGAUUCCACCGACUUGUCCUUCUUAUCUACAACGUCAAAGCUGUUAUCAGCAAUUUCUUCAGUGGCUUUUUUUUUUUUUUUUUUUUGUUAGCUUGUUAGUACACCCACUGUCAGAUCACACUUCACUGUUAGCCACCCCCACCAGGGAAUUGAUGCCAAGACCUCAGUGUUGAAACAAGGUAUCUUUCACUCAGUCUACCACUUGACGUAUGGAUCUGGGUGUUCCCCAGUGGCUGAGUCUUGUGCAUUGCCUUCCUGAACUCUGUCAUUCUCUUCUUGUUCUGAGAGAUUAUUCACCUCAACAUUUGCUUGCUCAAGCAAUGCUGCCAUCUUUUGAGCGGCAAUUCUCUUGUAAUGGGCCUCAUAGUAAGCUUUCUUCUGAGCAACAGAGCCCGGGGUGGAGUAUUUCUGCACCUCUUCCAAGUGCCUGUUAUGGGAGAAGGAUGACCAUUUUCCCCAAUCUAGAGAUUCUGACACAAACCUUCCAAAGGAGAUGGAUCCUUCCAAUACAGGGGCUGGAUACACCUGUUGACUGUGGUGAUGAAGGGAAUUGUCAGUAGAAUGAGAGCAGCAGUUUUGUUGCAUAAGACAAGCUGAUUCUGCCAUUGCCUUUGCCUUUGCCUUUGCCUUUGCCUUUGCAGCAGCAGCAAGAAUGAACAAGGAAGCCCUCUAGAAUCUUGCCUCUCCUUUGAGAAAAAAUUGUGACCAUCAAUUUGUAGCAUUCUUGGAUUGCAGAAUUGCAAGUAUAACAGGUGUUAUAUAUAUAUAUAUAUAUAUAUAUAUAUAUAUGCAUUACCUGUAUGAAUAGGGGAUUUGAUUUGGUUUCCAUAAGCAUUUUUCAUAUCAUUUUUACUACAAGCUUUUAGUUUUGAGUGGUGAAAUAAUACUGGAGUUGUAUUGAGUUAAUGCAAAUAUCCCUCGUGGUGAUAUUUGCCAGCUACUUCUUGCUGUGAAUGCUAAGGUUUCAUCAUUAUUUUUUGUCACUUCCUCUUGGCUAAACUGAAUUCUUUAGGACUGAAACUACAAAAUCUGUGGGUACUGUUGCUAAGAUGUAGUUAAAGAUCUGUGGAGGAUGCUGAUAUUGUCUAUGCAGAUAUGCAACAUGCUGAGAAAGAAACAUGAUUGGAAAAUGCUUGUUGUUUUAAUACACGCAGUAUUUUUAGGUGCAAGUUGUUUGAUAUGCUUGUUACCUUCUUUGCAAUCAGAGUGGAAAUGCACCCUUCCUAGCCAUUUGUCUAUUGGAGCAAGUGAUUUGAUCACCCGGAUCCUUGUUGUGGAUCCAAUUAAGCUAAUGACAAUUCCUGAGAUUCGUCAACAUCCAUGGUUCCAACGUCAUCUUCCUGGCUACUUAGCCGUUCCUGCAAUAGAUGUGUUGCAAAGAGUGAAACAGAGGAAUUUUAUGGUUCUGCCAGCAACAACCAGGCAACGGUAUGAUCUUCCUUAUUUUGUCCGUGAUGCCAUUCCUUUGUUUAUAGUUGCAUAUGAAGUUGAAGUUGCAUUCUAUAGUUCUAACAUGUAUUAGUUAGGGAACAAUUGUUUCUCGAUUAUGAGCUUGAUGAAUAAGUUGGCAUUCAUAAUCUUCAUAAAGGAAAAGAAUCUCUGAUGAAUAUAUUAAUGUAUGGAGUGGUAAGCUAAUGCAAACGAACUUGACAAUUAGGAAAUGGUUCCUGUGAACUCCUACAAAUACAUCAGCACCGGGCUCCGCCAAUACGUAAAAUGAAAAGAAAUGCCAAAGCUCUACUCUUCUUUCAGUUCCUGAAUUGUUUGAAUUCUAGUCUCCCAAACAGGCCACUGAUUUUGAUUUUGUGCAUUCGGAAACUGUUUCCGGGUACAACUUAGACAACACCAUGCAUGGUUUCUACAUCGCACCAGCUUUCAUGGACAAGCUUGUUGUCCAUGUCAGCAAGAAUUUCAUGACCUUGCCUAACAUUAAGGUUCCACUCAUUCUGGGUAUUUGGGGAAGUAAAGGUCAGGGAAAAUCAUUCCAAUGUGAACUUGUCUUUGCCAAGAUGGGAAUCAAGUGAGUUAUCUCUCUUGCCUUUUCUUGUUCCAUUUCUCUGGAAAAUGCUUUGAUAUUGAGGGGCUGAGUAUGGCUCAUGGCCAUUUCUGGCGUAGAGAAAAAUAGUUUAUGAUUUAUGAAUUUCUACUCUUAAAACAACUUACAAAAACAAAAAAUGAGAAUUGGGGCUUGUUUAUGUUGUUUUAGAAAGGAGUUCUUUCAUAUCUGCGGCAGCAUCGUUUUAUGAUUUUUGAACUUCUAAUAGGAGUAGAAUUCCCGAAGAAUUGCGAAUUGUUUUCUUCAUGGUCUGUGCAAAAUGCAUUCUUAAUUACAACACUGAAACUAACAUCAAUCAGCAUGGUCAAUUGGUGUCCAAAAAUGAUGAGCAAGGUGUUGUGAGGCUAGGAAUCUGUUUGGUGGUAUGCUUUUCGAAAUGGUAGGAUUUUUCUUGUAUUUUCUUCAGUAUAUUGAAAUGGGGUUGCUAAUCCCCAUCUUUAGAUUCUGAUCCACUAUCCUUAAGCUGUCAGAUUUUCAAUACCCCAGAGAGAAUUGCUGCCCCCUUCCUUUGAUUUGAAUGGUUGAACACUAUCUUUAGAAAAUAAGCAUUAUUUUGUAAUAUUAAUAGCUAGGACAUGGUUGUGUUGGAAUCCAGCAAAGAGGAAUGCUAAAAUGGUACCCAUGUGCUGUAAUGGGUUUGAAACCAUUAGGAAUGCUGAAGGGUGUCAUGCCCUGGGCUCCACAGCCUAUGUGAACCAAUCAAGGCGCGUGUGGCCAACAUGCACAUGGGUCCCACAUGCACACUCACUGCUAAGGACUAGCCUUCCUCUCCUAAUUCAUCUUUUUAUUUUUAUU
This is an RNA transcript of Magnolia sinica, 6577 nucleotides long. RefSeq lists it as uncharacterized. The transcript has 7 exons. NCBI's taxonomy places the organism in Eukaryota, Viridiplantae, Streptophyta, Magnoliopsida, Magnoliales, Magnoliaceae. The record is from RefSeq and is a predicted model, not a curated record.